CCUUUCUCAUAGGAAGGAACCAGAAACGUGACAUGGAUCAAAAGGACAUGUUUGAGUCUGAGGACACACCACUGGCCCAGACCCUGGACGGCUGCUCCGACUCUGGAAGGAAAUGCACCUGCACUACCUCAUCUCCCCCAGCAAUCAGGUCCAUCUCCAACAAUUAAUUAUGUGCUGAUGGGAGACACUGAGCAACGAUGAGCUCAUGUGUAGAUCUCAUCUGUCAGGGGCUGCCAUUCUGAGGUUCUUCUUGCUCACCUCCUCCAAAAAACCUUUUAUUGGAGCAAUUAAUACAAACAAGAUGAACACAUUUACCCUUUAUGAUGGCUUCAUUUCUCCCACCCACCCCCUUAUCAUUAUGAAUUAUCAGUAAAAACUGCAACAAAUGAGACAAGAGAUGAGGUCAAUGUCAGGCCUCUGAGCCCAAGCUAAGCCAUCAUAUCCCCAGUGACCUGCACAUAUACAUCCAGAUGGCCUGAAGCAACUGAAGAUCCACAAAAGAAGUGAAAAUAACCUU
Long non-coding RNA from Homo sapiens (human), 517 nucleotides. The record is from Ensembl. Lineage: Eukaryota; Metazoa; Chordata; Mammalia; Primates; Hominidae.